CCUACGGGCGGCAGCAGUGGGGAAUAUUGGACAAUGGGGGGAACCCUGAUCCAGCCAUGCCGCGUGUGUGAAGAAGGCCCUCGGGUUGUAAAGCACUUUCAGUGAGGAAGAACGCCUGGUGGUUAAUACCCAUCAGGAAAGACAUCACUCACAGAAGAAGCACCGGCUAACUCCGUGCCAGCAGCCGCGGUAAUACGGAGGGUGCGAGCGUUAAUCGGAAUUACUGGGCGUAAAGCGCGCGUAGGUGGCUUGAUAAGCCGGUUGUGAAAGCCCCGGGCUCAACCUGGGAACGGCAUCCGGAACUGUCAAGCUAGAGUGCAGGAGGGGAAGGUAGAAUUCCCGGUGUAGCGGUGAAAUGCGUAGAGAUCGGGAGGAAUACCAGUGGCGAAGGCGGCCUUCUGGACUGACACUGACACUGAGGUGCGAAAGCGUGGGUAGCAAACAGGAUUAGAUACCCUGGUAGUC
This 465-nucleotide ribosomal RNA is filed under the name Vreelandella stevensii. Its description in RNAcentral is "partial 16S ribosomal RNA". It matches the Rfam family "Bacterial small subunit ribosomal RNA", at positions 338 to 795 of the family's 1533-position model. The record is from RNAcentral. Lineage: Bacteria; Pseudomonadati; Pseudomonadota; Gammaproteobacteria; Oceanospirillales; Halomonadaceae.